Molecule: ribosomal RNA, 497 nt
Filed under: uncultured bacterium
Lineage: Bacteria
Description: partial 16S ribosomal RNA
Rfam family: Bacterial small subunit ribosomal RNA
Source: RNAcentral
GAUGAACGCUGGCGGCGUGCCUAAUACAUGCCAGUCGAGCGAACAGACGAGGAGCUUGCUCCUCUGACGUUAGCGGCGGACGGGUGAGUAACACGUGGAUAACCUACCUAUAAGACUGGGAUAACUUCGGGAAACCGGAGCUAAUACCGGAUAAUAUAUUGAACCGCAGGGUUCAAUAGGGAAAGACGGUUUUGCUGUCACUUAUAGAUGGAUCCGCGCCGCAUUAGCUAGUUGGUAAGGUAACGGCUUACCAAGGCAACGAUGCGUAGCCGACCUGAGAGGGGGAUCGGCCACACUGGAACUGAGCCACGGUCCAGACUCCUACGGGAGGCAGCAGUAGGGAAUCUUCCGCAAUGGGCGAAAGCCUGACGGAGCAACGGCGCGCUGGUGGUGAAGGUGCUCGGAUCGUGAAACCCUGUUAUUAGGGGCGAACAAAUGUGUAAGGAAAUAUGCACGUCUUGACGGUACCUAAUCAGAAAGCCCCGGCUAACUACGUG